UAGGGAAUCUUCGGCAAUGGACGAAAGUCUGACCGAGCAACGCCGCGUGAGUGAAGAAGGUUUUCGGAUCGUAAAACUCUGUUGUUAGAGAAGAACAAGGACGUUAGUAACUGAACGUCCCCUGACGGUAUCUAACCAGAAAGCCACGGCUAACUACGUGCCAGCAGCCGCGGUAAUACGUAGGUGGCAAGCGUUGUCCGGAUUUAUUGGGCGUAAAGCGAGCGCAGGCGGUUUCUUAAGUCUGAUGUGAAAGCCCCCGGCUCAACCGGGGAGGGUCAUUGGAAACUGGUAGACUUGAGUGCAGAAGAGGAGAGUGGAAUUCCAUGUGUAGCGGUUGAAGGCGUAGAUAUAUGGAGGAACACCAGUGGCGAAGGCGGCUCUCUGGUCUGUAACUGACGCUGAGGCUCGAAAGCGGGGGUAGCAAACAGG
Molecule: ribosomal RNA, 429 nt
Filed under: Gemmatimonadota bacterium
Lineage: Bacteria; Pseudomonadati; Gemmatimonadota
Description: Gemmatimonadetes bacterium partial 16S ribosomal RNA
Rfam family: Bacterial small subunit ribosomal RNA
Source: RNAcentral